AGCUUUCUAGGCUGAUAAAAACACAGGAGGCAAAGAUGACCUCCUACUGCUGCUGAUGGUUGGGUCUGCAGGUGGCACACAGAACCAUGAGUGAAAGGGCCGUUCAUGGUGACAGGCCAACGUGCUGCCCUUCCCAACAUAAUCACCAUCCUGCCGAUCCGUAGACAGUGGAAAGAAAUCACGUGGACAUCAGACGUUGGCACCAACAGGCCAACCCCAAAAUAAGGAUCUAUGUAUAUUCCAAGAAUGCAACUUCAUCUAUACUUAGGAUGUGGAAUGCGGCCUUGAUGGACCACGGUGAGCUCACCACCUCAAAAAGCCAGAGCUUGGAGCAGAACUCAGCCAGCACCUGUUUGUGGGACGUCCCGCCUGGGUCCUCCGGGUGGGUCCCUUCAUGGCCAUCGCUGCCUUGUGGCGGGAAUGGAGAUGUCCUGUGGGUGCUGCUGCUGUGAUGGACAACAGAGAGAAGGGAAGAAAGAUCCAACAAGGUGGAGCGAUUCAAUGUUCUUUUCUCUGCACACUCUGAGGCACAGGUGUAUAUUAUGUCUACCCUUCACUUGCUGGCUUGGUUCCAAACGUUCCUUACAGGAGUCUCAUUCAUGCUGUGCACUCUGAAGGUCAUUCGUCCAUACUUUUUGAUGUCCUACUGGGAGCCAGGCAGGGCACUGGGUGGGCACAGGGUAGGGAUCUUUGCAAAUCUCACCGACGGCCAUGCACCGGCAUGAUCCACAAUGCACCGUUAAAUGAGCCAAUGCAUUAGAUGCCUCCAAGGAAGAGCAGGAUGCGGACUGCAAAGUGCCCUUCCAGGGCCGCCCUGUAAGGCUACACAGGUGGUGCACUGCACAGGGGCACACAGCUAAGGGGUGCCAUUCUCAAGGUAGUCAUCUUGGAACUGAAUACAGCAGUGUAUUCUAAUUAA
Microcebus murinus (gray mouse lemur) is the source of this 919-nucleotide non-coding RNA. NCBI's taxonomy places the organism in Eukaryota, Metazoa, Chordata, Mammalia, Primates, Cheirogaleidae. The record is from RefSeq and is a predicted model, not a curated record.